GGGGAACAGGGCAAGUUCAAAUGAUUGCCUGGUGUCUGAAACCCUUUAUGAGGCUGGGGAGACUGGCUUUAGCCAGUUUUCUCAGGUUUUGCUUCUUCUGAGCAUUUGGGGAAUGCACCUGCUCUGGACUCUGCCCACCAGACACUUCAUGGGUUCCAAGGAAGGCAGGCAUCUUGGAGGUAGCUGCUCCAGCCUAUUCUAGUUUGUUCCCUACACUCAACUCAUCUAUACGAGUUUUUAUCAUAUUCAAGCAGUGCCUGUGGUUAAUGUAUGUAAUUCUAUAUAUAUGUAUAUGAUAAUAUAUGUCACCCUUACAUAUGUGUGUAAGCAUAUACUUUAUACCUUUAUUUUUUUAGAUUUAUAUGAAAACUUGACAUCAUUAAUAUCAAUGGAAAACAAAGGUAUCACUGUCCUUAAGGAGAAGGGAAUUAUGACCAUGAGGAAACAAUCUUCUUAUUUCUUCGCCUUUUAAAAAUGAGAGAUUAGCAAGGACACCAGGGUCAGUUGAACGUCCAACUCUUGGUUUCAGCUCAGGUCAUGAUCUGGGGGUCCUGGAGUAGAGCUUUGCACUCAUGGGAGAGUCUGCUUGAAUUUCUCUCUCCUCCCUCUGCUUCUCCUGCUUGUGUGGGUGUUCUCUCGCUCUCUCUUGCUAAAAUCAAUCAAUCAAUCAAUCUAUCUAUCUAUCUUUUUAGAAAAGGAGAGAUUAGCAGGUGUUAGGUGUUAAAGCCUAGGAAUAACAAAAAAUUCAACAUUUUUUUUUUUUUUUGUAAUCAGAAAGGCUGUAGAGAAAUGGAGGAAAAGUAUCUCGCUUGUGUGUUUUAAUAUUAUCUACUGCUGUCAUGAACUCCUCAUGUAAAGACAUUUGGAAAAACACCUGAGAGGAUGGGUGUGCUUGUUGGGAACUCUGGGAACCACUUCAUUAUCCAGAGCUGCAGUCCGAUCUGAAAUAUCAUCAGGCAUCAUCUUGAUCAUCUUGGGAAAGAAGUCUUCUGAUGUCCUGAGUCCUCAGUCUUCUGAAGCAAUCUGCUGGUCCCAAGCUCUCCCUCUCCAAGGACCUGGAAGAAAGACGGUGAUAAACCAGAGACGCUUACAGCUUCAUCAGCUCGAAGGACAUGACUUAUUUUCCUCUUCCUUGAACUUUGCUUGGCUUCCCGAGAAGAUAACUUAUUUUUAUUUCUCUCUUUAUUUCUUUAUUUUGUAUCAGCCUGUAUUAAAGUCCUAUAAAUAACCCUGGAGACACACGAAACAGAUUCAUUUAAUUUUCCUUUAGUUAUCCUAAGUCGGAACAGAUGUGUGUUUGUGAUAGAAAAGAGGAGGGGGAGGAUGAAUCAUAGGUGUGGGAAGAGGGAGGAGAAACCUGCUGGCAUCUGUGCUGGAAGAUCUGGCUGAUUUGGGGAGGUCGGCACACAGUGCAGGCUCAGCCUGGCUGGGUGUGCUUAGACCUCGUGACAUCUGCCACCGUGGAGUCCCCAGGAAGCCAAGAUACCAAAUAACGGGGCAGGGAGGAGGUCAGAUGCAUAGAACGUGUUGUGUCGUCCAGUGUCACCUGGCUCGGUGCUCCCCCAUAGCUCAGGCCAUCAGCUGACUGCCUUCCUUUCUUAUAUGCCUGAAAGAUAGGAAGGUGAAGAUGGGUGAGACCUGAGGUCAGAAAUAGUUUUAGGAUUCAUCGAGUGCAGAGAUCAGUUGCUUGGCCAUGAAGCCAUGAUCAAGCAUCUUUC
Long non-coding RNA from Vulpes vulpes (red fox), 1718 nucleotides. The record is from Ensembl. NCBI's taxonomy places the organism in Eukaryota, Metazoa, Chordata, Mammalia, Carnivora, Canidae.